AUUGAACGCUGGCGGCAGGCCUAACACAUGCAAGUCGAGCGGAGCGGCGGACGGGUGCGGAAUGCCUAGGCAUCUGCCUGGUAGUGGGGGAUAACGUCCGGCAACGGGCGCUAAUACCGCAUACUAUCAGAUUAGCCGAGGUCGGAUUAGCUAGUUGGUGGGGUAAAGGCCUACCAAGGCUACGAUCCGUAGCUGGGCUGAGAGGAUGAUCAGUCACACUGGAACUGAGACACGGUCCAGACGCCUACGGGAGUCAGCAGGGGGGCAUAUUGGACAAUGGGCGAAAGCCUGAUCGAGCCAUGCCGCGUGUGUGAAGAAGGUCUGCGGAUUGUAAAGCACUUUAAGUUGGGAGGCGUUACCAACAGAAGAAGCACCGGCUAACUUCGUGCCAGCAGCCGCGGUAAUUC
This 407-nucleotide ribosomal RNA is filed under the name uncultured bacterium. RNAcentral describes it as "partial 16S ribosomal RNA". It matches the Rfam family "Bacterial small subunit ribosomal RNA", at positions 30 to 526 of the family's 1533-position model. The record is from RNAcentral.